Molecule: unclassified non-coding RNA, 2548 nt
Filed under: Manduca sexta (tobacco hornworm)
Lineage: Eukaryota; Metazoa; Arthropoda; Insecta; Lepidoptera; Sphingidae
Description: uncharacterized LOC119188889, transcript variant X2
Source: RNAcentral
UAUUUUUAAUUGCAAAGGCUGCAUUUAAAGUCACAUUAAAUUUAAUAACUUUAAUUGUAUUACAUAUGUUUAUUUUUAAUUUUAAAGGCUGCAUUAUAAGCCCAAUAGAAUAUUGUAAGUGCCUACACGGGUAGCUAAUAUUUGUUACAUUGUAGAGGUUGCAUUUUAAAACCUCAUUUAAUUGUUCCACUGCCUGUGACCCUCAUUCCUGUUUUCCUUUUUUAAUUGUUUUUCCCCUUUUUCUUUUUUUUUUUUUUUUUGACUCCAUCAUGUCGCAGGAGGAUUUGUUGAGGCAAGUCAGGGAGCUGCAGGAAGAAUUGGCCAAACUUCAAACACCAGCAGCUUCCAGUGAUGUUAAAGCAAGUGUGUUUGGCAUCACCAUGAAAUUGCCACCAUUUUGGCAUGACAAGCCAGCAAUAUGGUUUGCCCAGGCCGAAGCUCAAUUUGAAAUAGCGGGCAUAUCACAAGAUUCCACCAAGUAUGGCCACAUUCUUUCUAAAUUAGACACUCGGGUUGCAACAGAGCUUGAGGACGUUAUCGAAAAUCCCCCAACUAAAGAUAAAUAUAACAAUUUGAAAUCCGAAGUAAUAAAGCGAUUUGGCAUUUCCAGAGAUCAGCGUGUUCGGCAACUGCUCAGUGAUGAGCCACUGGGGGACCGCAAACCAUCCUCAUUCUUGCGCCACCUGCAAACUCUCGCUGGUGCCAAGAGUGAUGAAAACAUAAUUAGGGAGCUGUGGAUGCGGAGGCUGCCAUCGGACAUCCAGCACAUCUUAAUGGCACAAAUAGAUUUGCCAUUGCAGAAGGUGGCAGACAUAGCUGAUGCUAUUAUGGAUACACCUGUCAAUGUCAGCUGUCCUAUAAUUGGUUCUGAUUUUCUGGCCCAUUAUCAUCUCUUGCCAGACUGUCGCCAGCAGAGAUUAGUAGACGGGAUCUCCAAGCUGUCUUCACCAGCUACCGUAGCAUCAGCUGCUCAACCCGCAGUCAAGUCUGUUAUUGCCGGAGACUCUGCCUUUAAGAAAAUACUUCUGGAAUUCCCUGACUUAACACGCCCUCCUGGGCAGCUGAUUUACAAGCACCUCUACUGGAAGUUUUGGCAUCUAGCAAGUUAAAAGGAGCCAAGCCAGUACCAUGGACAAGUGACCUUGAACUGGCAUUCCAAAAGUAUGCCUCAUCUACUCAUGUUGGCGCUUGUCUACAACAGUUUGUAGAUAAUGCCUGGCAGCCCAUUGCUUUCUUUAGCAAAAAGCUCACCAGCCGCCAGGCUACCUGGCCAGCGUACUACCGCGAGUUACUGGGAGUAUAUGAAGCUGUUCAGCACUUCAGACAUAUUUUGGAGGCCCAACAUGUCACCAUACAUACUGACCACAAGCCCCUUAUUUAUGCAUUCUCGCAACGACGCGAGAAGCUGCCUCCUGUUCAAUUAAAUCAAUUAUCUUUUAUUUCGCAGUUUACCACCGACUUCGUGCAUGUGCAGGGCACGGACAACGUUGUCGCCGAUGCCUUGUCACGAGUAGACGCCGUCCACGUCGGUUUUGACUACUCCGCUCUCGCCAAAGACCAGGCAACCGACGAGGAGUUAAAGCACAUGCAAAGUGACUCGUCCCUGGAACUAAAGAAGGUAACCAUACCUGGUUCUGAUACGCAAAUCUUUUGCGAUUUAUCAACUGGGAAACCCCGGCCGUAUCUCACACCAUCUUUUCGGCGACUGCAUUUUGACAAGCUGCACAACCUCAGCCAUCCAGGCGCACGGACCUCGGCGCGUAUGGUCGCCGACAGGUUCGUUUGGCCGGGUAUGAGGCGAGACUGCAGAAUGUGGGCCAGACUGUGUCCGGUCUGCCAACGCUGCAAAAUCUCUAGACAUACUGCCACGCCUUUAGGAAUCUUUACCACACCUACUAGACGUUUUCGCCACGUGCACAUAGACAUUAUUGGGCCUCUGCCAUCCAGUAGAGGUUACCAGUAUUGUCUCACAGCUGUGGAUAGAUUCACCCGGUGGCCAGAAGCAUGGCCCAUGGCCACCGCGACCGCGGAGGAAUGCGCGGAAGUUUUCUUUAGAGAGUGGAUGGCUCGUUAUGGUACCCCAUCUAUUGUGACUACAGAUCAGGACCGUCAAUUUGAAUCUUCCCUUUUUCAGACCCUGAUGCAGCUUUGCGGCGCCAAACGCGUGCGCACGACAAGCUACCAUCCGUGCGCAAACGGGUUGGUAGAGCGAAUGCACCGGCAGUUGAAGGCUGCUCUAAUGUGCCAUGAGGACACAUGGCAUAAAGCUUUACCUGUCGUGCUCUUGGGCAUGCGUGCCGCUCUUAAGGAGGACAUACAAGCAUCGCCCGCCGAGCUAGUGUAUGGAGAACCCCUAUGCCUGCCUGGCGAAUUUAUUGUUCCUCCCUCACUUUCUGAUCGCACUGACAGCGAAUCAAAUUUUGCAACUGAACUGAGACGGCAUAUGUCUGUUUUAAGACCGACACCUGCCACUCGGCAUAGAAAGCAGUCUAUUUUCGUUUCCAAGGACCUAGCUACUACGUCGCACGUUUUCUUACGUGACGACGCC